RNAcentral lists this ribosomal RNA (253 nucleotides) under uncultured bacterium. RNAcentral's name for it is "partial 16S ribosomal RNA". It matches the Rfam family "Bacterial small subunit ribosomal RNA", at positions 524 to 776 of the family's 1533-position model. The record is from RNAcentral.
CACGUAGGGCGCAAGCGUUGUCCGGAAUUAUUGGGCGUAAAGAGCUCGUAGGCGGUCUGUUGCGUCCGCUGUGAAAACUCGGGGCUCAACCUCGAGACGUCGGCGGAAACCAUCUGGCUAGAGUCCGGAAGAAGAGAGUGGAAUUCCUGGUGUAGCGGUGAAAUGCGCAGAUAUCAGGAGGAACACCGGUGGUGUAGACGGCUUUCUGGACCGUAACUGACGCUGAGACACGAAAGCGUGGGUAGCAAACAGG